Lontra canadensis (Northern American river otter) is the source of this 902-nucleotide long non-coding RNA. RefSeq lists it as uncharacterized. The transcript is spliced from 3 exons. NCBI's taxonomy places the organism in Eukaryota, Metazoa, Chordata, Mammalia, Carnivora, Mustelidae. The record is from RefSeq and is a predicted model, not a curated record.
CGCCGACCGGGGACCCCUGGCGGCCGCCCGCGGAAUGGCAGCUCCGUGAAGUCAGGUCGCCUGGAGGCUCAUCUUGCCUCCCGCAGAGCUCCUCAGUACAUACCGAUUGGGGAGUACCAAAUGACUAGGUACUGGAUUUUACAAUUCUGACUACACACUUUAAAAAGAGAAACUAAAGCCACACACUGAGAUCCGACUCUGCCCUUGAAGAUCUGACUCACGGUCCAGAGUACCGAUGAGCAAGACAUGCACAUGGUGAAGAGGGCAUUCAGUUCUAAUCAAUAAAUAUUAAUGGAACCAUCUCUGCCUCUCUCCUUGUGUUUCAGCUUUGCCUGUGGGAGGAGAGAACUUUCAUCCCACUUCCAUCCCCUUAGUGGCGAUUUCCCCAGGGAGGAAUGGUAAGUCUUGUGACUGGGAGGGAGCCACCCAUAUUUCCUGGAUAAUUUUCAUCAGUGAGAGGGGUCAUUGUAGUGAAUAAUACCCCAGUUCUUGCCCACUCUCUCCUAGCUUCUCUGCCUGUGACCUCGUGUGCUGGAGAAGGAUGGGUCCACCUUCACACUGUGCUCGGAGGGGCCAGCAUUUAGAUUCAAGCCCUCCUUGGUCCUCCUGCAUCUUUGUGUGGUCAGGCUACUACAACAAAGUCUGGGGGCUUCCCAACAGCAGAAAGGGAUUUCUCACAGUUCUGGAGGCUGAGAAGUCCAAGAUAAGUUGCCAGCAGAUUCAGUGUUUGGUGAGGGCUUGCUUUCUCUUAGACAAUUUUUCACUGUGUCCUCACAACGCAAAAGGGGGCAGGAAGCUUUCUCAGGCCUCUUUUAUAAAGACACUAACCCCAUUCAUAAGGCAUCCUCCCUCAUGACUGAUCACCACACAGAAGCUCCAUCUCCCAAUACCAUCACACUGGG